UCCAAAAACCAGACCAAGACAGCCCCCACCUUAAGCUCCUACUUUGAUAGAAUCAGAACCUAUUUUGUAUCUCCUAUCACAGGGUGAGGCUGAAACCAACAUCGAGUCUAAAUAACAACAAAAGAACUACAAUAGAGAAAGCAAAGGUAACCAACUAUCAAACCCGAACUGCCGUCCAGUUAAGCUUGAUUAAGAACCACACAACGAUCGGGCAUCUGGAAAUGGAAGAGAAUAACGAUAAGCACCGGAAGGUCUAGAUGGAAGAUAAAUUGUAUUAGAAGAAAUACUAUCUAUACUCCCUCUGCCACCCUCGAUAAACACACUAUAUCAGUGACCACGUCAAAGGAUUGACUUGUGUGCAAUAACUUGACUAAGAUUAGCCCUACUUAAGCUCCUACUUUGAUAAAAUUAAAACUUAAUUUUUAUCUCAUGUCAUAGGGUGGGGCAGAAAACAAUAUCCACGUCUAUGUACAAACAAAAUUGUUGAAAUGACAAAAGAUAACCAAACAUCAAACCAGAAGUGUCUCCAGUUAAGAACCACCCAGAUCAGACAUACUGGAAAUUGAAGGUAUAUCUAUAAGACACGGAAAUUGGUAGAAGAGAAAAUUAAGUAGAAUAAAAACUAUUAUGUACUCCCUUUGCCACCCUCGAUUAACACAAUAUCAAUGACUCAUCAAAGAUCUGUCCGCGUACCAAAAACCAGACCAAGAUACCCCACAUUAAGCUCCUACAGUGAUGGAAUCAAAACCUAUUUUGUAUCUCCUGUCACAGGGUAGGCCCAAAACAAUAUCCAAGUCUAUAUAACAACAAAAGAUAUAUAAUAGAGAGAUCAAAUGCAACCAAUUAUGAACCCAGAACUGCCUUCCAGUUAAGCUUGAUUAAGAACCAAACAACGAUCAGGCAUCUGGAAAUCGAAGAGAAUAACAAUAAGCACGGGAAAGUCAAGAUGGAAGAUAAAUUAUAGCAGAAUUAAUAC
Molecule: long non-coding RNA, 976 nt
Filed under: Salvia miltiorrhiza (redroot sage)
Lineage: Eukaryota; Viridiplantae; Streptophyta; Magnoliopsida; Lamiales; Lamiaceae
Description: long non-coding RNA (SMIL_LNC005899)
Source: RNAcentral